AUAAUAAAAAAAGUAAUAUUUCAUAGAAAAUGGGAUUAAAAAAUGACAAUUAUAUAUAAAUAUACAUAUGACAAUUGUUCAAUUAUAUACAUAUAAUUAAAAGGAGAUAUUACUGUUACAGCCUAGCGAUCACAUAGUGUACUGGAAUCAGGUUAUCAUGCCCCGGAAACAAAAUUGAAUGCAAAGUAUUUUUUCAACAAUUGCAACACAAGGCAAACUAGAAAACCAGAAUACCUAAACAUAUUCCGAAAACUUCGCAGAAUUGCGCCAAGCAAUGGCUUCGCGCAAUCGCUAUAUAGACAUAAAAACCGACACUCAAAUGCAGUUUCUGAGUGCAACAUAACUAAACAAAAGAAAACUAUAAAAAAUGUGCGGAAAAAACAACGUUGGUGAAACCAUAAGAAGUAUACACAAGCGAGAAUUAAAAGUCCUAAAUAUAUUGUGCAAAGAAGGGAAACAUGAACCCGUGUGAAGAGACGUACCGCGACAGACGAAAAGUGUUCAAGUUGCGAACAGCUUGUAAACGCAUCCUUUUCGAGGCUCGUGAAUGACAGUUGUGGCCAUACCAAGUGCCGAAUGUGCCUGCUGUAGGAGGAGCAUGGACGCAAAAUCUGUCAGACUGAACUCUGCGUAACAGUAAGAGAAGAAUGUUACAUCGCGAACGCAGAUUUGAAUGAAGCAAAAAAGUCACCAGGUGAGGAGAUUGUGCUGCCGUUAGAAAUGGUCAAAAAUAAGGAUUCUAAAUCUAAGCAAGAUUGUUCGCCGCAAGUGAAUCGUCUGAUAUUUAUGAGAUCACCACUUUUGGUUCUACAAAGAGUCCUACAAAUUUGUAACAAAUAGUGCAGCCAAUAGUGAUAAAUUCAGUCAAACGAACAAUCCAAGAAUAGAGUCCUACGAUGUAGCGUUGAGCAUUCAGAGCCACUUAGAAAGCGACAGUAAGCGUGAUUUAAAGGAUCUGCAGAAUCCGCAUGUAAAAAAUGUAGAUAUCAAUCUAAUCUUUUAAGAUAUUUAUAAUUAUGUUAUACAUUUUAUUUUUAUAUUGACGAUACUUUAAUAACACAUAAUCAAGUAGAUUUAAUAACUACAUCUUAAUUAUUGUACUUAUUGUUCACAUUUUCGGGAAAGAGACGUUAUAGAAAAUAACUAUUUUGUAGAAUUAUUGUUAUUGAAAAAAAAUUAAAUCUAACUAUCGCAUAUCAA
Long non-coding RNA from Solenopsis invicta (red fire ant), 1200 nucleotides. RefSeq lists it as uncharacterized. The record is from RefSeq and is a predicted model, not a curated record. Lineage: Eukaryota; Metazoa; Arthropoda; Insecta; Hymenoptera; Formicidae. The transcript is spliced from 4 exons.